This is a long non-coding RNA of Syzygium oleosum, 1645 nucleotides long. RefSeq lists it as uncharacterized. The transcript is spliced from 2 exons. NCBI's taxonomy places the organism in Eukaryota, Viridiplantae, Streptophyta, Magnoliopsida, Myrtales, Myrtaceae. The record is from RefSeq and is a predicted model, not a curated record.
AAGACAAAUCAAGCAACUUCCGCGCUCCUUCGUUCACAUGGCCUUUGUCAAAGAAGACAAAAGGCAAGAAGUGAGCAUACGUAAUGCAAGGUGGGCAAGGUAUGACUUGCGAAAUGAGUAUCUUUUAAGUGAUAUCUGUUCUAGCGGACUGAUUUUGGUCUGUUUUUGAGUAACAAAAAGACAUGAUUAAAAAAUGAACUAGGCUUUGUGUUACGCAUAAUAAAUUUUUAUCAAAGUAUUUCCUAUAACAUACUUAAAUUUCAGAAUUUUUGGGGUUCAUUUACUAUAUUUUUAGAAUGGAUUUUGGCUACUAUGCAAGACUGCGCAGAUUUACCCAAUUACAAAGAUACACUAUCUUCUAUGUGAAAACGUUCAAAACUUGAUUUGAUGUCUUCUGGAGAUAAAACAUACACACUUUGAGCUUUCCAAUGAGGUGUGAACAGUCUUGAUAUGAGGUCAAAUGAUGAGGCAAAUAGGAUCACCUAUGUGAUGCCAGAUUCUGAAAAUAUUGGUCAUAAAUGCCUAGUGUGUGAUAGUUAGAUGUUAAAUUGUUUUUUUGGCAUAUGUUAUUCAUUGUUCCUGUGAGAUAUGAUGAAUCGCAUGGUGUGAAAUGAUUUUGUUGUGCAUGUAUAAAAGAAAGUGCAUGAGUUGUUUGAUAUGAAGCUACCAUAAGAAAUGUCCAUCGGUCUUUGCGCCAAUGAUGCCCCGGAGGAGUUGGGAUGCCCUUGUGCUGUGUGUCUGGGAUGCCUCGAAGUGAGCUGCCUAUGACUAGUGAAUCACAGAAGUCCGAUCAAUAAACCGGAAGUGACCCACACAGCCCAGACAGUAUACUGGUUGAAGAGUGAGAUGGGUUGUGGAUUAAAUGACAUGAAGAACAUUAAAAUGAACUUGUGAAAUGUAUGUGCACUUGACAUUGCAUAUACAUAUAUUCAUUGAAUGCUGCGCUCAUGUUAUAUAUUGUGCUUGACUUUUCAUGACUACCUUGCAUGUUAGGCCGUUCUAGAAUCAAAUAAUAGGUGGAUCAGGUAGUCUAUAAGUUAGAACUUUCAUUGCUGAGCUUUGCUCCCUUGUUGUUGAAAUUUUUUUUUCUCAGAUAGCUAGUCAUGGCUGCUUUGCCUGCUAUGUCUAUUGCUCGAUAUGGAGUAUCUAUAAAUUUUGAGAGCUUGUUUGAUGAUUUCAAUGAUACCGCUUUCCCUAAUAUCAUUUUUACGAAGUGUAUGUUAGUUUUGUGGGUUGAUGUAGGGCAAGUUUCGGAGAGUAUUGCCUAUCGUUUUGUGGCAGUAUUCGUGAGGCUUGACGAGCGUCUUUUGGGCUCGAUACCGUACCCACCUGACAGUAGCAGUGACGACAACAGUGGCAGUGCGUAGGGGAGAGUAGUGAUAGGAUGAGUAGCUGUACAGUCGGUCCAUUUUGUCCAUUUUUGGUGGUAUGGUCAUUUCUUUUCGGGGACGACCGUGAGAAGGGCUUUUGGCUAACUACACUAGAAAUAUGAGUGGAUGGCACCUUUUGGCCUCUUAUGUGUAGUUGAUGUAUAAAUGGCUUGUACUUACCCUCCCAGGAGAUAUAAAGGAAUGAUGUUAAUAUACUUCUUAAUCGGGAUCCUUUGUAAAUUACAAAAUUAUGUCUAAUUGCAUAAUUCGUGUCA